GGAAUAUUGCUCAAUGGGAGAAAUCCUGAAGCAGCAACGCCGCGUGGAGGAUGAAGGGUCUAUGACUUGUAAACUCCUGUAAAGAAGGAAAAAAUUCCCAUUAGAUGGGAGAUGAUGGUACUUCUGGAGUAAGCCCCGGCUAACUACGUGCCAGCAGCCGCGGUAAUACGUAGGGGGCAAGCGUUGUCCGGAUUUACUGGGUGUAAAGGGUGCUCAGGCGAAUUUGUAAGUCAGAGGUGAAAUCUUACAGCUUA
Molecule: ribosomal RNA, 254 nt
Filed under: uncultured bacterium
Lineage: Bacteria
Description: partial 16S ribosomal RNA
Rfam family: Bacterial small subunit ribosomal RNA
Source: RNAcentral